Molecule: long non-coding RNA, 872 nt
Organism: Thalassophryne amazonica
Lineage: Eukaryota; Metazoa; Chordata; Actinopteri; Batrachoidiformes; Batrachoididae
Exons: 3
Source: RefSeq, a predicted model, not a curated record
GGCUGCAGCUGAGUUGCUCGGGAUGCUGCUGCGCUGGCUGCUGCAGAGGCUCCAUCCCUCCACCGAGGAGGGGAGGAAGAGAGAGAGAGAGAGAGAGGGAGAGAAAACAAGGAGUGGUUCUGAUGUGAGAAGCGCACAAGAGAGAAAGGAAUAGUAGGGAGGGGGCGUUUUCCCGCACAGCCUCACACACACACACGGUGUGUGACACAUGGAGCGGCUGACGUAAAGGUGGACAUAGAGCAGCUCUCGGUGAGAACAGAAGACACGUCCACUUGAGUUGCCAUCAUCAGUGAGCCAGACAUGGACAGCUGGGAUGGAGGAAGAGGCAAAGAGGCAUGAUGGGGAGAGAGGACAAGAGGAGUAUAGGUGCUGUCCUUAAGGGGUUCACCUCCAGGAACCUCCUUGAAAUCUUAUUCAGACUGCAGGAGAUAAAAGGAUGUACACAAAAAAGGAGAAUAAUCCAGACCUGAGAGGAACGGAGGGGGGCCCUUUGCUCCGGUCUCGACCACGGGUAUUCUUGGGUUGAUAAUACAGAUGUGGAUGUUAUUGCUUGAGAAUACGCGUAGUCGAGUGGAAGCUUAAUCAACAGGAACCAAAAGCUAUUCAGUUGCCAACAAUGACAGAGACGAGACAGACACACAGGGAGGUGACAGACAUGGGGUGAUUUUUAAUUCAGCACCCAGAGGUGACUUAGUAAAGGGUGUGUGUGGGGUUUUUUGUCCUCCACUUUUAAAUUUAAUGCUAUCAGGUCUAGCCAGCUGUCUAAAUCAGCUCCAGCCACUGAAAAGGUUUUAUCGGUGCAGGUUUAUUAAUCAUGUCACUCAGUAGUCAGGUUCACCUCCCGGCGGUGACGCCACCAAGUUAAAGUUCAA